RNAcentral lists this ribosomal RNA (253 nucleotides) under uncultured bacterium. RNAcentral describes it as "partial 16S ribosomal RNA". It matches the Rfam family "Bacterial small subunit ribosomal RNA", at positions 524 to 776 of the family's 1533-position model. The record is from RNAcentral.
UACGUAGGGUGCGAGCGUUAAUCGGAAUUACUGGGCGUAAAGCGUGCGCAGGCGGCGCGUUAAGACAGGUGUGAAAGCCCCGAGCUUAACUUGGGAAUUGCGCUUGUGACUGGCGAGCUGGAGUGUGGCAGAGGGAGGUGGAAUUCCACGUGUAGCAGUGAAAUGCGUAGAGAUGUGGAGGAACACCGAUGGCGAAGGCAGCCUCCUGGGCCAGCACUGACGCUCGUGCACGAAAGCGUGGGGAGCAAACAGG